GACGUCAAGUCCUCAUGGCCCUUACAGGCUGGGCUACACACGUGCUACAAUGGCGGUGACAGUGGGUUGCGAUCCUGCGAAGGUGAGCUAAUCCCAAAAAGCCGUCUCAGUUCGGAUCGCACUCUGCAACUCGGGUGCGUGAAGGUGGAAUCGCUAGUAAUCGUGGAUCAGCAUGCCGCGGUGAAUACGUUCCCGGGCCUUGUACACACCGCCCGUCACGUCAUGAAAGUCGGCAACACCCGAAGCCGGUGGCCUAAC
Molecule: ribosomal RNA, 258 nt
Filed under: Prymnesium parvum
Lineage: Eukaryota; Haptophyta; Prymnesiales; Prymnesiaceae
Description: partial Bacterial small subunit ribosomal RNA
Rfam family: Bacterial small subunit ribosomal RNA
Source: RNAcentral